This 253-nucleotide ribosomal RNA is filed under the name uncultured bacterium. RNAcentral's name for it is "partial 16S ribosomal RNA". It matches the Rfam family "Bacterial small subunit ribosomal RNA", at positions 524 to 776 of the family's 1533-position model. The record is from RNAcentral.
UACGGGGGGGGCAAGCGUUGUUCGGAAUUACUGGGCGUAAAGGGCGCGUAGGCGGCCUGUUAAGUCGGACGUGAAAUCCCUCGGCUCAACCGAGGAACUGCGUCCGAUACUGGUGGGCUUGAAUCCGGGAGAGGGAUGUGGAAUUCCAGGUGUAGCGGUGAAAUGCGUAGAUAUCUGGAGGAACACCGGUGGCGAAGGCGGCAUCCUGGACCGGUAUUGACGCUGAGGCGCGAAAGCUAGGGUAGCAAACGGG